GACGAACGCUGGCGGCGUGCCUAAUACAUGCAAGUCGAGCGGACUUAAGAGGCUUUCUUUUUUCUUUCGCUACGGACGGGUGAGUGACUCGUACGCAGCCUGCCUGUCUGACUGAGUUAACUUCGUUAAACCGACGCUAGUACCUACUAAUCCUUUUCUUCUACUGUAGGAUACCUGAAAGACGGUUUACUCUGUCACUUACAGUUGGUCCCGCGGCGCAUUAGCUAGUUGGUGAGGUAACGGCUUACCAAGGCGACGAUGCGUAGCCGACCUGAGAGGGUGAUCGGCCACACUGGGACUGAGACACGGCCCAGACUCCUACGGGAGGCAGCAGUAGGGAAUCUUCCGCAAUGGACGAAAGUCUGACGGAGCAACGCCGCGUGAGUGAUGAAGGUUUUCGGAUCGUAAAACUCUGUUGUUAGGGAAGAACAAGUAUGAAAGUAACUGUGCGCACCUUGACGGUACCUAAUCAGAAAGCCACGGCUAACUACGUG
Molecule: ribosomal RNA, 494 nt
Filed under: uncultured bacterium
Lineage: Bacteria
Description: partial 16S ribosomal RNA
Rfam family: Bacterial small subunit ribosomal RNA
Source: RNAcentral